CAACGCCGCGUGGAGGAUGAAAUCCCUUGGGAUGUAAACUCCUUUCGAUCGGGACGAUUAUGACGGUACCGGAAGAAGAAGCCCCGGCUAACUUCGUGC
This 99-nucleotide ribosomal RNA is filed under the name uncultured bacterium. RNAcentral describes it as "partial 16S ribosomal RNA". It matches the Rfam family "Bacterial small subunit ribosomal RNA", at positions 392 to 508 of the family's 1533-position model. The record is from RNAcentral.